CCUACGGGUGGCAGCAGUGGGGAAUAUUGCACAAUGGGGGAAACCCUGAUGCAGCGACGCCGCGUGGAGGAAGAAGGUCUUCGGAUUGUAAACUCCUGUUGUUGAGGAAGAUAAUGACGGUACUCAACAAGGAAGUGACGGCUAACUACGUGCCAGCAGCCGCGGUAAAACGUAGGUCACAAGCGUUGUCCGGAAUUACUGGGUGUAAAGGGAGCGCAGGCGGGAAGACAAGUUGGAAGUGAAAUCCAUGGGCUCAACCCAUGAACUGCUUUCAAAACUGUUUUUCUUGAGUAGUGCAGAGGUAGGCGGAAUUCCCGGUGUAGCGGUGGAAUGCGUAGAUAUCGGGAGGAACACCAGUGGCGAAGGCGGCCUACUGGGCACCAACUGACGCUGAGGCUCGAAAGUGUGGGUAGCAAACAGGAUUAGAUACCCUAGUAGUC
This 440-nucleotide ribosomal RNA is filed under the name Escherichia coli. RNAcentral's name for it is "bacterial SSU rRNA". It matches the Rfam family "Bacterial small subunit ribosomal RNA", at positions 338 to 795 of the family's 1533-position model. The record is from RNAcentral. Lineage: Bacteria; Pseudomonadati; Pseudomonadota; Gammaproteobacteria; Enterobacterales; Enterobacteriaceae.